GAUGAACGCUGGCGGCGUGCCUAAUACAUGCAAGUCGAGCGAACGGACGAGAAGCUUGCUUCUCUGAUGUUAGCGGCGGACGGGUGAGUAACACGUGGAUAACCUACCUAUAAGACUGGGAUAACUUCGGGAAACCGGAGCUAAUACCGGAUAAUAUUUUGAACCGCAUGGUUCAAAAGUGAAAGACGGUCUUGCUGUCACUUAUAGAUGGAUCCGCGCUGCAUUAGCUAGUUGGUAAGGUAACGGCUUACCAAGGCAACGAUGCAUAGCCGACCUGAGAGGGUGAUCGGCCACACUGGAACUGAGACACGGUCCAGACUCCUACGGGAGGCAGCAGUAGGGAAUCUUCCGCAAUGGGCGAAAGCCUGACGGAGCAACGCCGCGUGAGUGAUGAAGGUCUUCGGAUCGUAAAACUCUGUUAUUAGGGAAGAACAUAUGUGUAAGUAACUGUGCACAUCUUGACGGUACCUAAUCAGAAAGCCACGGCUAACUACGUGCCAGCAGCCGCGGUAAUACGUAGGUGGCAAGCGUUAUCCGGAAUUAUUGGGCGUAAAGCGCGCGUAGGCGGUUUUUUAAGUCUGAUGUGAAAGCCCACGGCUCAACCGUGGAGGGUCAUUGGAAACUGGAAAACUUGAGUGCAGAAGAGGAAAGUGGAAUUCCAUGUGUAGCGGUGAAAUGCGCAGAGAUAUGGAGGAACACCAGUGGCGAAGGCGACUUUCUGGUCUGUAACUGACGCUGAUGUGCGAAAGCGCGGGGAUCAAACAGGAUUAGAUACCCUGGUAGUCCACGCCGUAAACGAUGAGUGCUAAGUGUUAGGGGGUUUCCGCCCCUUAGUGCUGCAGCUAACGCAUUAAGCACUCCGCCUGGGGAGUACGACCGCAAGGUUGAAACUCAAAGGAAUUGACGGGGACCCGCACAAGCGGUGGAGCAUGUGGUUUAAUUCGAAGCAACGCGAAGAACCUUACCAAAUCUUGACAUCCUUUGACAACUCUAGAGAUAGAGCUUUCCCCUUCGGGGGACAAAGUGACAGGUGGUGCAUGGUUGUCGUCAGCUCGUGUCGUGAGAUGUUGGGUUAAGUCCCGCAACGAGCGCAACCCUUAAGCUUAGUUGCCAUCAUUAAGUUGGGCACUCUAAGUUGACUGCCGGUGACAAACCGGAGGAAGGUGGGGAUGACGUCAAAUCAUCAUGCCCCUUAUGAUUUGGGCUACACACGUGCUACAAUGGACAAUACAAAGGGCAGCGAAACCGCGAGGUCAAGCAAAUCCCAUAAAGUUGUUCUCAGUUCGGAUUGUAGUCUGCAACUCGACUACAUGAAGCUGGAAUCGCUAGUAAUCGUAGAUCAGCAUGCUACGGUGAAUACGUUCCCGGGUCU
RNAcentral lists this ribosomal RNA (1372 nucleotides) under uncultured bacterium. RNAcentral's name for it is "bacterial SSU rRNA". It matches the Rfam family "Bacterial small subunit ribosomal RNA", at positions 28 to 1381 of the family's 1533-position model. The record is from RNAcentral.